AGUAACACGUGGGCAACCUGCCUUACAGAGGGGGAUAGCCUUCCGGAAGGAAGAUUAAUACCGCAUAUUAUGAUUUUUCUGCAUGGGAAAGUCAUGAAAGGAAGCAAUCCGCUGUAAGAUGGGCCCGCGGCGCAUUAGCUAGUUGGUGAGGUAAGGGCUCACCCAAGGCGACGAUGCGUAGCCGACCUGAGAGGGUGAUCGGCCACAUUGGGACUGAGACACGGCCCAGACUCCUACGGGAGGCCAGCAUG
This 251-nucleotide ribosomal RNA is filed under the name uncultured bacterium. Its description in RNAcentral is "partial 16S ribosomal RNA". It matches the Rfam family "Bacterial small subunit ribosomal RNA", at positions 109 to 349 of the family's 1533-position model. The record is from RNAcentral.